RNAcentral lists this ribosomal RNA (253 nucleotides) under uncultured bacterium. Its description in RNAcentral is "partial 16S ribosomal RNA". It matches the Rfam family "Bacterial small subunit ribosomal RNA", at positions 524 to 776 of the family's 1533-position model. The record is from RNAcentral.
UACGGAGGGGGCUAGCGUUGUUCGGAAUUACUGGGCGUAAAGCGCACGUAGGCGACCUUUUAAGUCAGGGGUGAAAUCCCGGGGCUCAACCCCGGAACUGCCCUUGAAACUGGGAGGCUAGAAUCUUGGAGAGGCGAGUGGAAUUCCGAGUGUAGAGGUGAAAUUCGUAGAUAUUAGGAAGAACACCAGUGGCGAAGGCGGCUCACUGGCCCGGUACUGACGCUCAGGUGCGAAAGCGUGGGGAGCAAACAGG